UUGUGCCCCACAAACAUGUGGGGCAUCAAUAUAUCUCAUCUGAUCUUGGAAGCUGAGCAGGGUUGGGCCCUGGUAAUACUUGGAUGGGGACUGCCUGGGAAUACAGGUGCUGCAGGCU
This 118-nucleotide ribosomal RNA is filed under the name Calidris pugnax (ruff). The record is from RNAcentral. Lineage: Eukaryota; Metazoa; Chordata; Aves; Charadriiformes; Scolopacidae.